CAACAGCCCUGGCCCAGGAGAACUCUAUGCAGCCCCCAAGGACGACGGCUUCAGCUCAGUGAUGCCGAACCUUUUAGACCUUUGAGUGCCAACGCAGGCGGCUGCAGCAUGUGUGCCAGGGCUCCCACCACUGCCCUCCCUCGGAUUAAUCCUUGGCCCAUGUGCUGGCCAAUAUCCUGGCACCAGAGCUUCCUGCCUUUCUUUGGGUUUUGCUUCUUCCCAUCCCAGAAGUCUACCAGGCAACUAGCAUCAAUCAUUUAUAACAAAUGGAAUCUGCUCCCCAAAGAGGAGACAAGGAAGGACAACUCCCACAUGCUCGCUGGCCAGGACUGCAUAUUUCCAGAAUUUUCUCAAAGAACAUACAGAAAGGCAGAGAUAAGAAGAAGGGCCCAAAAGAAUCUUAUUCUCAGCGUUAAAAUGGCAUCAGGAAAUCAAAGACAACUAGAAAGCUGUUUUCACAACAUCUGAGUCCUCUUCAGACGUCACCGCGCCCAGAGACAGUACAACGGCAUCAUCCUUCCUGGCUCACGGCAUGAAGGGGUUAAGAGGCAGACCGCGCCUCAGACGCCCACCACCCCACACUCGCAGCUCCCAGGCUGGGAGCCUCCCCACCCUUCCCCACUCUUCCCAGAGAGCAGGGCUCCUUCUCCACAGAUGCUG
RNAcentral lists this long non-coding RNA (660 nucleotides) under Heterocephalus glaber (naked mole-rat). RNAcentral describes it as "lncRNA (ENSHGLG00000051002.1)". Lineage: Eukaryota; Metazoa; Chordata; Mammalia; Rodentia; Bathyergidae. The record is from RNAcentral.